This is a long non-coding RNA of Lemur catta (Ring-tailed lemur), 1164 nucleotides long. RefSeq lists it as uncharacterized. Lineage: Eukaryota; Metazoa; Chordata; Mammalia; Primates; Lemuridae. The record is from RefSeq and is a predicted model, not a curated record. The transcript is spliced from 3 exons.
ACCGCCGCCCCACCUGUGCCUUCCGCAGCUCGGGCGCUUCGGCGUCGCCCCGAGAGCUCCCAGCCCGGCCGCGGCGCCCAGGGCCGGCUCCCUCACGCGACGCGCUCCGCCCGGGGUACCCACGGCCCGCCCGCCGGCGGCUCCCAAGAUUCUUCUAAAAAAUAAUGCAUUCUCUAACAACAGUGAAGAAUUGGAAGAGCACAAGACAGCUAUGUAAAGAUGAAGACAAAGAAUGAUGUUGAGAGAAUCCAUGAACUGAACUAAAUUGGGGAAAGCAACGGCUCAGAACUAGAGGUGUCCUUGAGAAUGUAAGCUCCUGGGGAACUUGUGGACAUUUUGAAGAGGACAUCAGAUUUUCUAUAAGAGGUAAAGAUGGAGGUUCAAAGCAGAUGUCAAUGCCCUCCAUCAAAGACCACCAAGAAUACACUUGAAGUUUUAACAGCCUGGGUUUAUUGUUCAUUGAAAGUGAGGGAGAACACAUGCCAUGGGGAGUUAUGAGACAUCUCAGUGAAAGGGUGUUAGAAAAGACUUAUAGGAUUUGGGAUUGUGUAUGGUGAUUUUGGAGUUGGUGUAAGGAAGCAGGGGUUUGCUCUGGAUUGGGUACUAUCAGGAGUAGGGGUCAUUCUGGAUAGAGGAUCUUAAAUCUUAGCUAGGAGGGAAGACUAGAGCCACACCAAAUCUAUAAUUAGUAAAGAAGCAGCAAUCACUCCUAUUAGCCAAGAUAGAGGGAUGUUUGGCCAUUUUUGUGAUUUGGACAACAACUAUGUGUGUUACUUGCAACAAAGCAAAGUGAAUUUACAAACAUCCGGAAAGAGUGAAACCCUGAGAAGUUUCUAGUAAGCAAGGAAAGGUAAAUGGAAGUUAAUUGGACAGUAUACAUUCUUUACUAAAUUGAAAUGUGUGAAAUAUUUUAUAUGUUAUUGAUUCAGUAUAUUAAAUGUGUUUUGUUUUAUUUGGGGAAGUGUAAAAAAUAUAAACGCUUUUAAAGACUCAGUUUUAAUCACUAUCCCAUAAACCUAUUUUCCCCACAAACUUUUAAAUAAUGUAGACUCCUCCUCCAGCUGACAAAGGCAACUGUCCCUUCCCUGAUAAAGGCCAAGCUUUGCAGAUUUUCAGAGUUGCUGAUACUGUUGGGGGUCUGAGUCACCAUCAAGCUAUGAUCUG